UACAGAGGUGGCAAGCGUUGUUCGGAAUUACUGGGCGUAAAGGGCGCGUAGGCGGCCAUCUAAGUCAGACGUGAAAUCCCCGGCUUAACCUGGGAACUGCGUCUGAUACUGGACGGCUUGAGUUUGGGAGAGGGAUGCAGAAUUCCAGGUGUAGCGGUGAAAUGCGUAGAUAUCUGGAGGAAUACCGGUGGCGAAGGCGGCAUCCUGGACCAACACUGACGCUGAGGCGCGAAAGCUAGGGGAGCAAACGGG
RNAcentral lists this ribosomal RNA (252 nucleotides) under uncultured bacterium. Its description in RNAcentral is "partial 16S ribosomal RNA". It matches the Rfam family "Bacterial small subunit ribosomal RNA", at positions 524 to 776 of the family's 1533-position model. The record is from RNAcentral.